GAUGAACGCUGGCGGCGUGCCUAAUACAUGCAAGUCGAGCGAACGGACGAGAAGCUUGCUUCUCUGAUGUUAGCGGCGGACGGGGGAGUAACACGUGGAUAACCUACCUAUAAGACUGGGAUAACUUCGGGAAACCGGAGCUAAUACCGGAUAAUAUUUUGAACCGCAUGGUUCAAAAGUGAAAGACGGUCUUGCUGUCACUUAUAGAUGGAUCCGCGCUGCAUUAGCUAGUUGGUAAGGUAACGGCUUACCAAGGCAACGAUGCAUAGCCGACCUGAGAGGGUGAUCGGCCACCCUGGAACUGAGACACGGUCCAGACUCCUACGGGAGGCAGCAGUAGGGAAUCUUCCGCAAUGGGCGAAAGCCUGACGGAGCAACGCCGCGUGAGUGAUGAAGGUCUUCGGAUCGUAAAACUCUGUUAUUAGGGAAGAACAUAUGUGUAAGUAACUGUGCACAUCUUGACGGUACCUAAUCAGAAAGCCACGGCUAACUACGUG
RNAcentral lists this ribosomal RNA (497 nucleotides) under uncultured bacterium. RNAcentral's name for it is "partial 16S ribosomal RNA". It matches the Rfam family "Bacterial small subunit ribosomal RNA", at positions 28 to 507 of the family's 1533-position model. The record is from RNAcentral.